UCCCAAAAGCGCCUCUUAGCCUCCUCGUCUAAGCCCGCUUGCGACGCGUAAGCGCUGAUGACGUUGAGGACGCAACCCCCAUAACCAACUUAAUAGACAUUACCCUAUCAUUCACUCGCCUAACCUCGACCACGGACUCCCUUAGAUCUCUAUCUACCAAGAUACCCACUCCAUUCUUACCUCUCACGACCCCGGAAUACCACAACUUAAACCCGUCAGCAUUCCUCGCCUUCGACCCUUCCAACCCUCUUCUUCUGAAGAACCUUCGCCAACUCAAUGGACUUACCCGUCAGAAUCCUAUGUUCCAUGACCCAAUCCUUAAUCUAUGAGCGUCCGCUACCCUCUUCCCACCCUUACCACCCAGUCUAUCUCCUACUCACCCCUGCCACCGCCCCCACCCCCGAGGACAUGAAGUUUUCCUGAAGCUUAUCGGAACGUGUAGUUCUAUUGCGUCCUGCCGAAAGUCUGAGCGGGAGUCGCCGGAAGUACUGUAGCUUGCCGGAAAUCAUCGCCGAAAAAAUAAGGCACCUGUCCAAGAAAACAGAACACACCCACACACACCCACAAAAAGUAGAAGAGAGAAUAGGAAGAAAAGGGCAGAAAGAGAAUUGAAAUAAAUAAAAAAAAGCAGAACAAAGAACUCAACAAAGGAGAUUUUCUCAAAUUGAAGAAAAGCGGCACUGGUGGCGGCUGGACACCUGUUCUAUAAGCAGAAAAGAACAGAGCCAAAAACUCGAUGCAACAAUAUCUCUUUUGAAGAAAAAUUCCAAAUUUGACAGUUUCCAAAACUUUAAUUUCACUGAUUUACCGGUGAGUUGCCGGAGAAGAUGAACUGCUUUGUUACCGUUGUGAAGAGAGCGUUAGCAGAGGAGGAGAGAGAAGAGAGCGUUUGAUAAGGAGGGACAGAGUGAGUCAAUCUAAGGGUUUCAAAAUAAGCAGAUCUAAAACAGAAUACCUGGAGUGCAAGUUUAGCGCCGAGCCGAGCGAAGUAGGCAGGGACAUGAUGAU
This 1008-nucleotide long non-coding RNA is filed under the name Nicotiana benthamiana. RNAcentral's name for it is "long non-coding RNA (NBEN_LNC019744)". The record is from RNAcentral. Lineage: Eukaryota; Viridiplantae; Streptophyta; Magnoliopsida; Solanales; Solanaceae.